UACGUAGGGUGCAAGCGUUAAUCGGAAUUACUGGGCGUAAAGCGUGCGCAGGCGGUGAUGUAAGACAGGUGUGAAAUCCCCGGGCUUAACCUGGGAACUGCAUUUGUGACUGCAUCGCUGGAGUGCGGCAGAGGGGGAUGGAAUUCCGCGUGUAGCAGUGAAAUGCGUAGAUAUGCGGAGGAACACCGAUGGCGAAGGCAAUCCCCUGGACCUGUACUGACGCUCAUGCACGAAAGCGUGGGGAGCAACAGG
This 252-nucleotide ribosomal RNA is filed under the name uncultured bacterium. Its description in RNAcentral is "partial 16S ribosomal RNA". It matches the Rfam family "Bacterial small subunit ribosomal RNA", at positions 524 to 775 of the family's 1533-position model. The record is from RNAcentral.